AUUUGUUUAUAUUUUUCAGAAACUAUGAGAUGCAAUCUUAAGACCUACCACAUUCUCAUCCAUCUGAAUCUCACUUGAGCUAGAACUCAUAAACAAUGUACUAGAGCCUCUAAGGCUUUAACGUCCAUCACAAGCGGAAAUGGUGCAGGUAACGGUGAGCUUUCAUUUGUCAACCCGGAGAGCACAUCUGACAUGGUAGGUCGAUUCGCUGCACUAUCCUCCACGCAUAGAAGACCAACUUGAACGCAUCUUAACAGUUGAUCUUUGUUAGUACACGAAUCAGCUAGUGUUGGAUCCAUGAGUUGUAGCCCUGCGCCUUCUUUCCACAACUCCCAUGCCUGAAAUUAUCCAGAUAAUAUCAGUUAAUUUAGGAUGACAGAAUGAUGGAAUAUCAUAGCUAUAUAAUGACAUAAGUAUGGUGAGAUUUGUUUGACAUACAUAUCCUACUAAAUUGAUGGCGCGAUCAUCAUUAUAGAAGCUAUUGUUUCUCCUACCACUUAUGAUUUCAAGCACUAACACUCCAAAACUGUAUGCAUCGGAUUUUGUAGAGAAAAUUCCUUCCAUUGCGUACUCAGGAGGCAUGUAACCACUACACCAUAUAGAAAUGAAUUCUUACUUUAUCUGCAUAAAUCUUCAUAUAUCCAUGGCUAGCUACCAAAAGCAAAAUAUAAGCAUAUAUUGUUGACUUA
This is a long non-coding RNA of Rosa chinensis, 689 nucleotides long. RefSeq lists it as uncharacterized. Lineage: Eukaryota; Viridiplantae; Streptophyta; Magnoliopsida; Rosales; Rosaceae. The record is from RefSeq and is a predicted model, not a curated record. The transcript is spliced from 2 exons.